Molecule: ribosomal RNA, 95 nt
Filed under: uncultured bacterium
Lineage: Bacteria
Description: partial 16S ribosomal RNA
Rfam family: Bacterial small subunit ribosomal RNA
Source: RNAcentral
CACCGCCCGUCACACCAUGGGAGUUGGUUUCACCCGAAGGCAGUGUGCUAACCGCAAGGAGGCAGCUGACCACGGUGGGAUCAGCGACUGGGGUG